This is a non-coding RNA of Cinara cedri, 315 nucleotides long. The record is from the annotation of a GenBank genome assembly. NCBI's taxonomy places the organism in Eukaryota, Metazoa, Arthropoda, Insecta, Hemiptera, Aphididae.
ACUUUUUAUAUCAUCGUUAUAAAUACAUAAUGCCCUGAAGCUUUGGGGUGCAAUGAUAGAUCGUCGCCUCCUCCGGUUUUAGACGAUUGUGGAUCUAUUAACCUGCAGAUGGCUAAACUACCGUUUAUCUAACUAUCGAUCUCUUGGCCCGGUUACACGCAAUCCCAAAUAAUGUCCAGCCUUGUCAUUUUUUUUUUUCAUGCUUAAAAUAUUAUUUAAUGAUGAAAUUAUUAUUCUUUUCAUAACUUUUUAUUUAUUUUUGGAACUCGUAUACCCACUAGAUAUUGAGUAAGGUGUAUUUGUUGUGGUCAUUCC